AAUAAGCUAUUUUAAAUUACUGUAUAUUUGGUUUUAAGUGAAACACGAAUGUCUUUUACAUUCUUUUAAGAGUUGGAAGGCAGGUUAAAUUUUUUAGAAUAAUUUAAUAAUAUAUUCUAAUUUUUUCCAGUGCAUCUGGGGGAGGUGUUGUAGCCAUUGACAACAAAAUAGAACAAGCAAUGGAUCUGGUGAAAAGCCAUUUGAUGUAUGCAGUAAGAGAAGAAGUGGAAGUUUUAAAGGAACAAAUAAAAGAAUUAGUUGAAAGAAACUCUUUACUUGAACGAGAAAAUGCACUGUUAAAAUCUCUUUCAAGCAAUGAUCAAUUAUCCCAACUCCCAACCCAACAGGCCAAUCCUGGUAGCACUUCUCAACAGCAAGCAGUGAUAGCACAGCCUCCGCAGCCAACGCAACCUCCACAGCAGCCGAAUGUCUCCUCAGCAUAAAGCUUUCUUAAGCCUCAUUAAGAAAAAAACUGAAAGCAAUCUAUCCUUGUGUGCCACUGGUGUUCUUUCCACUUUAUACGAAAGCAAGUAGCCAUGCUUUGGUUGUGUGUUUGGCCUUUUCAGUAUUAGACAAUCAUUCUACAAGAGCUUUUCCUCUCUGAGAUGUCAUGCAGCGCUGUUGAUGUCCAGUUCUAUGUCAUCAGUACACAAGGAGAAUAAUAGCUGGGGUUUAUUAAAGCGAGCAAAGUCUGCAUUUUACCUGGUGCGCAUGAGUGGGGUCUUUAAGAGUUUUGGUGGCUCUCCCAUGUUUCCUAUUACCCGUGGAUUUACCCUGAGCCUUCCUAUCACAUUAUAAAUAACAGUUCAUCUAAAGAGCCACUUUUCUUUCUGAUUCAGUAACAUUUGCCUACAUAAGUUUUCAUUUAUUUGUGUUUUAUUUAUUACAGGGCUGCUAUUUUCAUAAUGUACAUGAACAAUGUCACAGAACUUU
This 933-nucleotide small RNA is filed under the name Pongo abelii (Sumatran orangutan). RNAcentral's name for it is "retained intron". Lineage: Eukaryota; Metazoa; Chordata; Mammalia; Primates; Hominidae. The record is from RNAcentral.